UCAAGCUACUGGGCAGAUGUGUGGACACCUAUGAGCCAAACUUGGGACGUUUGGUUUUUAGGUGUGACCGUCUGGGCAGCAGAAACAAGACAACGAAUCAUAUUUAGAUACAAUCAAAUGUCCAAACCAUCUCUGAGUGAAUGACAUGAAGGAAACAGGAUCAAAAAGAUCAUUCAUUAUAGACCGUUUCAUAGUUGGUUAUAUUUUUCAGGUCCUCCUGAUCAUUCUGUUCUCCUGGUUGU
This is a non-coding RNA of Danio rerio (zebrafish), 242 nucleotides long. Lineage: Eukaryota; Metazoa; Chordata; Actinopteri; Cypriniformes; Danionidae. The record is from RefSeq and is a predicted model, not a curated record.